RNAcentral lists this small nuclear RNA (107 nucleotides) under Myotis davidii. The record is from RNAcentral. Lineage: Eukaryota; Metazoa; Chordata; Mammalia; Chiroptera; Vespertilionidae.
GUGCUCGCUUCAGCAGAACAUAUACUAAAAUUGGAACGAUACAGAGAAGAUUAGCAUUGCCCCUGCACCAGGAUGACAUGCAAAUUCGUGAAGCAUUCCAUAUUUUU